This is a regulatory RNA element of Desulfosporosinus orientis DSM 765, 102 nucleotides long. It matches the Rfam family "Purine riboswitch aptamer". Rfam says of the family: Riboswitches are metabolite binding domains within certain messenger RNAs that serve as precision sensors for their corresponding targets. Allosteric rearrangement of mRNA structure is mediated by ligand binding, and this results in modulation of gene expression. Lineage: Bacteria; Bacillati; Bacillota; Clostridia; Eubacteriales; Desulfitobacteriaceae. The record is from Rfam.
UAUAAAAAUUUAAUAAGAGUUCAUAUAAUAGUGGAGAUAUGGUCCGCAAGUUUCUACCAGGUCGCCGUAAAUGAUCUGACUAUGAGCGAAAGUGUACCUAGG